This 254-nucleotide ribosomal RNA is filed under the name uncultured bacterium. Its description in RNAcentral is "partial 16S ribosomal RNA". It matches the Rfam family "Bacterial small subunit ribosomal RNA", at positions 524 to 776 of the family's 1533-position model. The record is from RNAcentral.
UACGAAGGGGGCUAGCGUUGCUCGGAAUCACUGGGCGUAAAGCGCACGUAGGCGGCUUUUUAAGUCAGGGGUGAAAUCCUGGAGCUCAACUCCAGAACUGCCUCCGAUACUGAAUGUCUUCGAGUCCGGGAGAGGUGAGUGGAACUGCGAGUGUAGAGGUGAAAUUCGUAGAUAUUCGCAAGAACACCAGUGGCGAAGGCGGCUCACUGGCCCGGUACUGACGCUGAGGUGCGAAAGCGUGGGGAGCAAACAGG